GAGCUUGCUCCCUGCUGACGAGCGGCGGACGGGUGAGUAAUGCAUAGGAAUCUGCCCGGUAGUGGGGGAUAACCUGGGGAAACCCAGGCUAAUACCGCAUACGUCCUACGGGAGAAAGCAGGGGACCUUCGGGCCUUGCGCUAUCGGAUGAGCCUAUGUCGGAUUAGCUGGUUGGUGAGGUAAUGGCUCACCAAGGCAACGAUCCGUAGCUGGUCUGAGAGGAUGAUCAGCCACAUCGGGACUGAGACACGGCCCGAACUCCUACGGGAGGCAGCAGUGGGGAAUAUUGGACAAUGGGGGCAACCCUGAUCCAGCCAUGCCGCGUGUGUGAAGAAGGCCUUCGGGUUGUAAAGCACUUUCAGUGAGGAAGAAGGCCUUGGGGCUAAUACCCUCGAGGAAGGACAUCACUCACAGAAGAAGCACCGGCUAACUCCGUGCCAGCAGCCGCGGUAAUACGGAGGGUGCGAGCGUUAAUCGGAAUUACUGGGCGUAAAGCGCGCGUAGGUGGCUUGAUAAGCCGGUUGUGAAAGCCCCGGGCUCAACCUGGGAACGGCAUCCGGAACUGUCAGGCUAGAGUGCAGGAGAGGAAGGUAGAAUUCCCGGUGUAGCGGUGAAAUGCGUAGAGAUCGGGAGGAAUACCAGUGGCGAAGGCGGCCUUCUGGACUGACACUGACACUGAGGUGCGAAAGCGUGGGUAGCAAACAGGAUUAGAUACCCUGGUAGUCCACGCCGUAAACGAUGUCGACUAGCCGUUGGGUCCCUCGCGGACUUUGUGGCGCAGUUAACGCGAUAAGUCGACCGCCUGGGGAGUACGGCCGCAAGGUUAAAACUCAAAUGAAUUGACGGGGGCCCGCACAAGCGGUGGAGCAUGUGGUUUAAUUCGAUGCAACGCGAAGAACCUUACCUACCCUUGACAUCCUCGGAAUCUGUCGGAGACGGCGGAGUGCCUUCGGGAACCGAGUGACAGGUGCUGCAUGGCUGUCGUCAGCUCGUGUUGUGAAAUGUUGGGUUAAGUCCCGUAACGAGCGCAACCCUUGUCCCUAUUUGCCAGCGAUUCGGUCGGGAACUCUAGGGAGACUGCCGGUGACAAACCGGAGGAAGGUGGGGACGACGUCAAGUCAUCAUGGCCCUUACGGGUAGGGCUACACACGUGCUACAAUGGCCGGUACAAAGGGUUGCGAAGCCGCGAGGUGGAGCUAAUCCCGAAAAGCUGGUCUCAGUCCGGAUCGGAGUCUGCAACUCGACUCCGUGAAGUCGGAAUCGCUAGUAAUCGUGAAUCAGAAUGUCACGGUGAAUACGUUCCCGGGCCUUGUACACACCGCCCGUCACACCAUGGGAGUGGACUGCACCA
This 1351-nucleotide ribosomal RNA is filed under the name Halomonas sp. RNAcentral describes it as "bacterial SSU rRNA". It matches the Rfam family "Bacterial small subunit ribosomal RNA", at positions 76 to 1422 of the family's 1533-position model. Lineage: Bacteria; Pseudomonadati; Pseudomonadota; Gammaproteobacteria; Oceanospirillales; Halomonadaceae. The record is from RNAcentral.